Molecule: ribosomal RNA, 761 nt
Filed under: uncultured bacterium
Lineage: Bacteria
Description: bacterial SSU rRNA
Rfam family: Bacterial small subunit ribosomal RNA
Source: RNAcentral
GGUUGGAACUGGCGGCCUUGAGUGGGCAAGAGGCGCGUGGAAUUCGUGGUGUAGCGGUGAAAUGCAUAGAUAUCACGAGGAACUCCGAUUGCGAAGGCAGCGCGCUGGGGCCUUACUGACGCUGAUGCUCGAAGGCGCGGGUAUCAAACAGGAUUAGAUACCCUGGUAGUCCGCGCGGUAAACUAUGGACGCUCGCGGUGCGGGUCUUAGACUUACGCCGCCUAGCGAAAGCGUUAAGCGUCCCACCUGGGGAGUACGCCGGCAACGGUGAAACUCAAAGGAAUUGACGGGGGCCCGCACAAGCGGAGGAACAUGUGGUUUAAUUCGAUGAUACGCGAGGAACCUUACCCGGGCUUGAAAUGUGCAUGACAGGAAGCAGAGACGCUUCCCUCCUUCGGGCAUGCAUGUAGGUGCUGCAUGGUUGUCGUCAGCUCGUGCCGUGAGGUGUCGGCUUAAGUGCCAUAACGAGCGCAACCCUUCCCCCCGGUUGCCAGCAGGUAAUGCUGGGCACUCCGUGGGCACUGCCAUCGCAAGAUGUGAAGAAGGCGGGGAUGACGUCAAAUCAGCACGGCCCUUACGUCCGGGGCCACACACGUGUUACAAUGGGGGGCACAGAAAGCCGGUCGCUGGCGACAGCGAUCCAAUCCUCAAAUCCCCUCCCAGUUCGGACUGGAGUCUGCAACCCGACUCCACGAUGCUGGAUUCGCUAGUAAUCGCGCAUCAGCCAUGGCGCGUGAUACGUUCCCGGGACUUGUACACAC